UACGAAGGGGGCUAGCGUUGUUCGGAAUUACUGGGCGUAAAGCGUGCGCAGGCGGCUUCUCAAGUCAGGGGUGAAAGCCCAGAGCUCAACUCUGGAAUUGCCUUUGAGACUGAGUGGCUUGAGUACGAGAGAGGUGAGUGGAAUUCCCAGUGUAGAGGUGAAAUUCGUAGAUAUUUGGAAGAACACCGGUGGCGAAGGCGGCUCACUGGCUCGUAACUGACGCUCAUGCACGACAGCGUGGGGAGCAAACAGG
This 253-nucleotide ribosomal RNA is filed under the name uncultured bacterium. Its description in RNAcentral is "partial 16S ribosomal RNA". It matches the Rfam family "Bacterial small subunit ribosomal RNA", at positions 524 to 776 of the family's 1533-position model. The record is from RNAcentral.